RNAcentral lists this transfer RNA (67 nucleotides) under Marmota monax (woodchuck). RNAcentral's name for it is "tRNA.Ala". Lineage: Eukaryota; Metazoa; Chordata; Mammalia; Rodentia; Sciuridae. The record is from RNAcentral.
GGUUGUGGCUCAGUGGUAGAAUGCUCACCUCGCACGUGCGAGGCCCUUGGUUCGAACCUCAGCACCA